Ursus thibetanus thibetanus is the source of this 1703-nucleotide long non-coding RNA. The record is from Ensembl. Lineage: Eukaryota; Metazoa; Chordata; Mammalia; Carnivora; Ursidae.
AUUUUCCUACAUAGGCAAAGAGAACUUGAGGGAAAGAGAGUGUCCGAGAAAAGUGCAGGGGAGAGAGAAUUUUUUUUUUGUACUUUAAUUUCUCUUUCUGACUGAAAUUUCUGUGCAAGACAGCACGCAACAGACUGUGUAUACAGUUGACAUUUCAGCUGGCAACAUAGACAUGCCCUUUGGAAAUGUUGUGUCUGCUUCUACCGUGGCCCAGCCCCAAAUACCCACAUUGGAAAGACCCAUUUGUGUCAGGGGAGCAUGGCUGCUUGCUGGCUCGGCGCCAGGACCAUCUUCUGCCCUGCAUGUCUCGCUUUUCCACAUCUCAUAAAAGCUGGUUUCUGUCGGCACCCAAGAGCCAUCACCACGAAGACGGGAGUGAGGCACCUUCGCGCCGGGCCUCAUCACCCACGUGUUCUAGCAUGGAUGGAGAGGUGUGUCUGCGGGCACGUCCACACUCUGCCGGCCGUAGGUGUGCGACGCUUGUGUGCCUGUGUGUGGAACUGUUACAGAGUUCCCAGCGGGUGGAACUAAAUAUAUGUUGUGUAUGGUUUUGUAUAAUUUAAGAUACAUGUGUGACAUCAUAAUGGAAGUAUUGUACAUAAGGCUCCUCAGGGAGAGUGAGAUAGACAUUUUGUCCGACUCUUACGGACCUUUUUUUGGUAAUGAAAUGCUUUGUUGAUCCAGUGAUGCAAGAAGCUACACCCCGUAUUUCAUCAUCAUAGUUAUGCUGCUUAAGGGGUUUUUAAGGCAAAAAAAAAAAAAAAAUGUCAACUGACUUUGAUAUUCGUCACUAUAAACCAGAGUCUCUUUUGUGCCCGUUGCUUCAUCGAGUGGCAGUGCUCUUUCGAGAGGGACACGGACCGGCCAAGGGUCUCAGGGCACAUUUAUCAAGGAACCCCCCGGGAGGACCCUGUAAGUGUGUUGAACUGCUGGCUGAAAAACCCGCAUGAGAUAAAGACCUUGGCUGUGAAGUCCAACAAAUUGAUCUUCUCAGGGUAUGAGCAGGGUCAGGAAGCAGGGCUAGGAAGAUGCGCUCUGACUUUGUUAAUUAAUUAACAAGGUAUAUGAUUUUGUUUUUCUCGAUGACAAACUUUUUUAAGUUUGGGACUUAUUUUCGAUUUGAGAAGUUGUAAUAUUUAUUUAAAGUGAGUUUCCCGCUUAAGUUGUGCCUUUCAGCGUCAGUGGGUCUAAAGCACAGAGGGUGAUGACCCUUGUGAGGGCUGGUUUAUUAUCAAACCUGAAUAGCUGUGGUUUCUCCAGUAAGCAUUUCCUUCUACUGAACAUGGAGCCAUUAUUAAAAGAAUUGUGUUUCUUAUUAUGUAAAUUGUAUAUUUUUUGCUUGUUUGAUGUUCUAUUUUUCUAAUAGUUUUCUUAUAGUUUCUUAUAAUUAUGAUCCUAGAUUUAGAUUCUGAUGCCCACUGCAAAUGAGGCUGUCCCUGCUGACCCCUCCUGUUUUUAUGUUAAGGACAAGCAUAGAUGUCCAUCGCCUUUAAAAAAUGUGAAACUGCUCUGUAUCCCAUUUUUGCUGACAACACUGUAUGUUGAAAACUUCCUACUAUAUGUUGUAAAAUCAAAUUAUUUUGUGGUACAUUAUCUCAUGCUUCCGCAAACUCUAAUAAAUUCUGUCUAUGGCUUCAGCACGCACAGUGUGAUCUCAAGAACUGUAGCAGCUCUCGGGGUUGGGGGGGGGUCCCCGCCCUGGC